This is a long non-coding RNA of Myotis brandtii (Brandt's bat), 2267 nucleotides long. RefSeq lists it as uncharacterized. NCBI's taxonomy places the organism in Eukaryota, Metazoa, Chordata, Mammalia, Chiroptera, Vespertilionidae. The transcript is spliced from 2 exons. The record is from RefSeq and is a predicted model, not a curated record.
UGAGCGUUAACUUUUAUCUUACACUUUGGGAACUCAGAUAUACUGCUGCUUCCUAGCCUUUGAAAACUAUAUAGAUACAUUCUUUUCUUUUUCCAGAGCAGUGCAGUAAGAGGAAGAAAUAUCGAGUACACAGGUGUGGUACUGAUGAAUCAGUUGUACUGUUUUUGGACUGAACUGAUGCCUCUAGGUAGACUGGAGCACAUUCUAUUUCACUACUUGCACAUGUAUUAACUCAAUCCUCUAAUUUUUAUGGAGGUAUUGUUGAACACAAACGCACAAGCCAAAAGUAAACCUGGAAAAAGGAAGGCUCUGCUGCGAGAAUGUUAAACAAAUUUGAAAUCUCUGUUAAUGCAUCAUCUUUGAGACACAGUCAUUGACUGCAUUUUCAGCAUAUUCCUUCACUUUGGUUCAGUUUCCUUUCCAGUUGAACACACAGUUGACUCUGUCUACUCAGUGAUAGUCGGUUUGUGGCUGAAAAUCUGUUGCUCUUGGUGUUGCUGGUGUUUACAUCUUUCUUUCUGUAUUGAGUUGGGACUAAUACUAAUCAUUUGCUGUCAGGACCUUCAUUUUUAUGCCACUCAUUUUAUAAAGUAAGGGCAAAUGGCCACUGAAAUAUUCAGUGAUUAAACAAACUCAAACAAAGAUGGCAGCAGAACUGCUGAUCAGUGGCUAGCCAGCCCUGUGGUCCCUGUCAGUGUUCAUUUGGAGUGGAUUCAGAUUAAGGAAGGUAGCUAAGCAUGGGUCCCCAUUCUUCUGUUUACAUGUUGCCAUAAGGGAAUUUCUGAGCACACACCUGUAAGUGUAUGAUGAGUUAAAUACAUGUGCUAGUAUACUGGUAUACUAGGUAUAUCCUAAAACACAAAAUAAGCUUCUUAUGAGGAGAAUUUUUUUCCUUCAACAAAUUUCUUUUAGUAUAUGUGCUGCCGAAGCGAGCACUCCUUCAACAAAUUUCUUGUUCACCCCAAGGGUAAAUACACCCCAUUCAGAGAACCUUAAGUUAGUGGUAUCAUUAAAUAAUGUUAGAGGAAUAGGUUUAAGAAGGGUGACAUAGGACCUUGUUUGAAAUGCUACAUUUUUUCAAGUGUGUCCCUUGUCUCCUUUGAUGUUUUAUUUCUGCCAGUUGUUGACUUGAAGUUGACCCAGUGUAUUAUGAAGGAAAAUAAAAAAAAACAGAAACAAGCCCUGAAAGGUUGUUGGUUCGGCAUGCAGGAGGGGCAGCGUAUCGAUGUUUCACUCUCACAUCAAUGUUUCUCUCCCUCUACCUUCUUUUUCUAAAAGUCAAUAAACUAUUUUUUUAAAAAAAUUUUACUUUAAAAAAUAAAAGAAAUCCCUUGGACCCAAGGCAGCAGGGCAAGAAAAUACCAUUGAGAGGCAGUAGACUUUGAAACGCAUGGACUCAACCACUAUAGCUCUGGAUAUGAGUGGGCAAUGUAUUUGCUGUGUGACCUUGGAAAGUUAAUUUCUCCAAACUUCAGUUUCCUCCCUCCGAAGUAGCUUGUGAAAAUUAGCUGAAAUUGCAUUAACUACUUACAAGUAUUUAGAACAACGCCUGGUGCACUGCAGGGAAGAAGUAAGUGAUGAUGAUUAGAAUAGUUGAAUGUCUAUUAUGUGCCAGGUGUCCUUGAGGGAGAUACUGUGUUCAGUCUCUAUAGUAACCCAGGUAUGUGGGUAUUUUAAUUUGAGGAACCUGAGAAAUUCAAUAUUCUGGUCUGGAUCAGAACUGGUCUUCAAAUUCAGGUCUGAGUCUAGCCCAUAGCUCUCAACCACAUCAUGGGCCUGCCCCAGGUGAGAUUGCCCAGUCCAGAGUGGGCUUAAAAAAUGUUAAAAAAAAAUUUUUUUUUUUUUUAAUGAAUGACACAGGCAAGUGGCAGAGAAUGCUUGUGAGUCCUUUGAGAGAAAAGUAAGUCUUUGUUCUUUUUUUUGAUGGGAUGGAGCUGACCAGCAUUCCCACCAGGGUCUGGUACACAUCCCCCUCCUAAGCACUGCCCCCAGCCCAAUCCAUGGCUGUUGCUUCCCCAGGUCAGCAGCUGGUUUCCUGGGUCAAUUUGAUCACACUUGGACCUUCCAUCCUCUCUAGCUGUUAAGAAGAGGGCUGUGGGUGUGGUUAGGGUGAUCAGGGUUGUGCCCCCACUAAACAAUGGAACUGGGAUGUGGCUAAGCUUCAGGGCAGCAUGUCAGUCUAGACCUCAGUACUAGGGAGCUGGCUAUCUGGGCUGUAGAAGGUCAUUUCCCUCCAUUUCUAUUUCUUCCACUCCCCCCACUUAGUU